RNAcentral lists this ribosomal RNA (465 nucleotides) under uncultured bacterium. RNAcentral describes it as "partial 16S ribosomal RNA". It matches the Rfam family "Bacterial small subunit ribosomal RNA", at positions 28 to 507 of the family's 1533-position model. The record is from RNAcentral.
GAUGAACGCUGGCGGCGUGCUUAACACAUGCAAGUCGAACGGAAAGGCCCCUUUGGUGGUCCUCGAUGGGCGGACGGGCGAGUAACACGGGAGUAAGCUGCUCAUCUCUCCGGGAUAACUGCAGGAAAAUGGGGAUAAUACUGUAAUGGAAUAUUUUCUGCCUGGCGGGGGUGGGAAAGCUUCGGAGGUCUUUGACGGCCUUGCGGCGUGUUAGCUGGUUGGUGGGGUAGUGGCUUACUGAGGCGUUGACGGGUAGCUGGCCUGGGCGGGCGAACGGCCACAUUGAGACUGAGAAGCGGCCCAGGCGCCUACGGGGGGCAGCAGUGGGGAAUAUUGCACAAUGGGCGGUAGCCUGAUGCAGCAACGCCGCGGGCGGGAUGACGGCCUUCGGGUUGUAAACCGCUUUCAGCAGGGGCGCAGCUUGUGGUGACGGUACCGGCGGAGGAAGCACCGGCUAACUACGUG